This is a long non-coding RNA of Amphiprion ocellaris (clown anemonefish), 422 nucleotides long. Lineage: Eukaryota; Metazoa; Chordata; Actinopteri; Pomacentridae. The record is from Ensembl.
GUUGUGUUGCAGAUAAUUAAAACACAAUCCAUUAGCUUCUAUACAAAGACUAAAUUACAAGUUACUUUAAUGUUAUACACCUUUUUUUCCUCCCUUUGGGUCUGCUUUUAUCUCUCUCCAUUCAUUCAUCCUGUUUCCAAUUCCCUCAAUUAUGUUUCAUGUCAGCCGGAUGAUCAGGGAGCCGUGGUUACCUGACAGCCGUUGCCAUGGUGACCAGGUUUGGUCUUUCUACUCAAGGAUAUCUGACACUAAUGUUUCCGGGUCACUUCAGGAAUUUUCAAGAGGAAAAAACCAGGCCACCCUUCAGCCAUGACAGAGGUAUUAUAAAUAGAGAGGUAUUGAUCCCAUCUGGACACACUAAUGCACUUUCACAGGCAAACAUUUACACAGCAACACACACACAUACCCAUACACAUGUACAC